UGCUGCAUGGUUGUCGUCAGCUCGUGCCGUGAGGUGUCGGGUUAAGUCCCAUAACGAGCGCAACCCUUAUCGUUAGUUGCCAGCUGGUAAAAGGCAGGGGGACUCUAGCGAAACUGCCACCGUAAGGUGAGAGGAAGGUGGGGAUGACGUCAAAUCAGCACGGCCCUUAUGUCCAGGGCUACACACGUGUUACAAUGGCCGGCACAGAGGGCAGCUACCUGGUGACAGGAUGCUAAUCUCGAAAACCGGUCUCAGUUCGGAUCGAAGUCUGCAACUCGACUUCGUGAAGCUGGAUUCGCUAGUAAUCGCGCAUCAGCCAUGGCGCGGUGAAUACGUUCCCGGGCCUU
This 347-nucleotide ribosomal RNA is filed under the name uncultured Sphingobacteriales bacterium. Its description in RNAcentral is "bacterial SSU rRNA". It matches the Rfam family "Bacterial small subunit ribosomal RNA", at positions 1039 to 1382 of the family's 1533-position model. The record is from RNAcentral. Lineage: Bacteria; Pseudomonadati; Bacteroidota; Sphingobacteriia; Sphingobacteriales.